UAGGUUAUAGUUUAAUAAUCAAAAUUGAUUUUUUACAAGAAUUAAUUAUACAUAAUGUAUUAACCUAA
RNAcentral lists this transfer RNA (68 nucleotides) under Paratomella rubra. RNAcentral's name for it is "tRNA-Val". The record is from RNAcentral. Lineage: Eukaryota; Metazoa; Xenacoelomorpha; Acoela; Paratomellidae.